UACGAAGGGGGCUAGCGUUGCUCGGAAUGACUGGGCGUAAAGGGCGCGUAGGCGGCUGUUACAGUCAGGCGUGAAAUUCCUGGGCUCAACCUGGGGGCUGCGUUUGAUACGUGACGGCUAGAGUGCGGAAGAGGGUCGUGGAAUUCCCAGUGUAGAGGUGAAAUUCGUAGAUAUUGGGAAGAACACCGGUGGCGAAGGCGGCGACCUGGUCCGUGACUGACGCUGAGGCGCGAAAGCGUGGGGAGCAAACAGG
RNAcentral lists this ribosomal RNA (253 nucleotides) under uncultured bacterium. RNAcentral's name for it is "partial 16S ribosomal RNA". It matches the Rfam family "Bacterial small subunit ribosomal RNA", at positions 524 to 776 of the family's 1533-position model. The record is from RNAcentral.